UAUACAACUAGGAGCCUCAUGGGUGCACCAAGAAGAAAUAAGGGAAAAGAUACUAUUUCUCAUAGUGUGAAAAAAGGAAAUAAGGGAUUUAUCGUGCAUUAUAAACAAUUUAAAUUUUGAGCCUUUAUCACUUAACAUAUUAGAUAUCGGCAAAGGUUGAACCGUUGACCUCCUACCAACCAAAUAAGGAGCAACAAAUCCAACUGAGCUAGAUCCAUUCCUAAGUCAAACUGACAAUAAAAAUUUGAAAUAAUGUUGGAAUAGAUUUAUUGACACAAACUCAAAACCCUAAGUUUGAAAUAUUACUCAUUCUCCUCUCAAAUUUUUGGGGCGACCUGCAGCUGCUUGAUACUAUUUCCGCACCAUUGACAAAUGUAGGAGUAUAAUUAUUAUGCAUCAAAAGAAUUUAAGAAAGUAAUACGCACCAGACAUUACAGAAUCAGUGUAAGCAUUUUCUUCGUGGAUGUAAGAGAGGAGCUCUGGGUUAGAGCGAGAGUCAUCACGGAGCCAGUAGUAGUUGUCUACUCUAACGUCCCCAAACAACUCCAUUUCGUGCCUCACUUUCUUUGGCGCCGGCGGCGUGGUGUUUACCAUAGCUCGCAGGGAGAAAAUGGAAGAACCUUUAGAGUGAAA
Long non-coding RNA from Solanum dulcamara, 633 nucleotides. RefSeq lists it as uncharacterized. The record is from RefSeq and is a predicted model, not a curated record. NCBI's taxonomy places the organism in Eukaryota, Viridiplantae, Streptophyta, Magnoliopsida, Solanales, Solanaceae. The transcript has 2 exons.